Molecule: long non-coding RNA, 568 nt
Organism: Maylandia zebra (zebra mbuna)
Lineage: Eukaryota; Metazoa; Chordata; Actinopteri; Cichliformes; Cichlidae
Source: RefSeq, a predicted model, not a curated record
AGCAAUCAACCAGCAGAUCAACUGGAUCAGUGAGGGGAGCUCCAGCAGAGGGGGACAGCAUCAUCAAGCAGCAGCACAUCAGCAGGCACAAAAGUAUGAACUCCAAGCAUUGUCACAAGACAUCAGAGACACCGAACCGUUAUUUGAUGAAUACUUCUGAAAGAAGAUGAAGAGGUGCAGCUACAAAAUCAAUACAAAUGACCACUGACAAAUCCUGCCCAUCCAGCAGUCUGCUUUCUGAUGCUUACCUCGGUUCAGGUGUUGGGUGCAGCAGUCUGAUCAGAGACAGCCCGACCUCAUUUUCCUUUGUAGCUUCCUGCACCUCCCCCAGCUCCUCUGGAGUCCCACUGAGACGUUUACAAGUCUGCACGACACCCAGUCUCUCUGUAUGCAAUUUUUGUCAGACUAUGUAAAGUGUCCAUUCUGUGUUUUUGCUGUUUGGAAUGAUAAAUCUAAAGAAAUGUUUCCAUGUUUGUAUUAUGCUUUAUUUUUUUAUGUAGCCUAUUGAUAAUUCAGCUUUUACAUUAAUACACUUGCAAAUGGAGUGGUGUAAGUAAAUAACAUUCAU